Molecule: RNA transcript, 3953 nt
Organism: Fragaria vesca subsp. vesca
Lineage: Eukaryota; Viridiplantae; Streptophyta; Magnoliopsida; Rosales; Rosaceae
Exons: 4
Source: RefSeq, a predicted model, not a curated record
AUGCUAGAAGAAGUGCAACAAGUGAAUGAUUUUAAUGCAAGGCCGAGGAGUGAUCAAUAUUCGGGAUGGAAAAACCCUCCAAAUAAUUCUUGGAGGAACAAUCAAGGUUAUCAAGGUGCUGGACCUUCACAUAGAUUAUAUCAAGGAGCACGAGCCAAACUCCCAAAAUCCUCACUUGAAGAAACAUUGAAAGCAUUCAUGGCUAGCCAGGAACAACACUCUCAGUACUUGUCUAACACAGUGGAUACUCUUGCAAGCAAAGUGAACAGCCAAGGAGCUUCUAUUUCAAAGCUUGAAACACAAAUGAGGCAACUAGCUGCGAGGUUAAGUGAAAGAGAACAUGGGAAAUUUCCGAGUCAAACCGAUAUCAAUCCAGGUAGCCAUAAGCAUAUAAAUUCGGUUACCACCUUGAGGAGUGGAAGAGUGAUUGAUAAUAAGGUGGGCAGCAAUGAGGAAAACGUGCAAGAAGAAGAACUUGAAGCUUACACACCUCAGGAUCACAGUGUUGUUUCACUCCCAGAAGGGUCUGUUCAAGAAAAAGUAAUUCCUACUGCUCCAAAUACAUCUGAAAAGUCUACUCCAGCGAAUAUGUACAUGCCUCCUAUCCCAUAUCCUCAAUGUUUAAAGAAGAAGAAGAAUGACAAGCAUAAGAUGGAUAUUCUAGAUAUGUUCAAAAAGGUGCAUAUUACCAUUCCUCUUCUUGAUGCAAUUAGUCAAAUUCCUGCGUAUGCAAAGUUCUUGAAGGAGUUAUGCACGAAUAAAAGAAAGUUUGAGGAGCAUGAAAAUGUUAUGCUAUCUGAAGAAGUGAGUGUGGUGUUACAACGGAAGCUUCCUCCAAAAGUGAAGGAUCCUGGUAGCUUUUCUAUCCCUUGCACUAUUGGUCAUCAUUCUUUUAAGAAGCCUAUGUUAGAUUUGGGUGCAAGUGUGAAUCUUAUGCCAUAUUCCAUCUAUGAACAACUAAAUUUGGGGGAAUUACAAGAAGCUACAGUGAAGUUGCAACUAGCCGAUCGAUCUUUGAAAAUCUGGAGAGGAAUCGUUGAAGAUGUAUUAGUGAAAGUGGAUCAACUCAUCCUUCCAGCUGAUUCUUUGUACUUGAUAUGGAAGAAGUGCCAAUACCAGACCAGGAGAUUCCUAUGUUGUUGGGCAGACCAUUCAUGGCUACUAUAGGGACAAUGAUAGAUGUAAAACGAGGAAGACUCACAAUGGAAGUACAAGAUAUGAUGGUGGAGUUUAAAGUCUUUGACGCGGCUAAGCAUCCUUCCGAGAGUUCUCAUUCUUUUUCUAUGGAGGUUGUUGAUCAGAUUGUGCAUCAAAGUUUUCUAGAAAACCAUUCUUCCGAUCCUAUAGAGACAUGCCUUGCUUAUAGUGGAAUAGAAUUCAGUGAGCCGAGGAUUGAAGAGGCCGCUACAAUCCUCAACGUUGUUCCUAAGUAUUCUCCACAAUUUGAGCCGAGUUUUGAAGCUCUUCCUCCUUCCAAUGCCAAGAUUGUUCCCUCUGUUGUUACAGCACAUGUAUUGGAGUUGAAACUACUUCCAGAACAUCUGAAAUAUGCAUACCUUGGAGAUUUGGAGACUUUACUUGUGAUAAUAGCUUCAAAUUUAAGCAGGAUUGAAGAAGAGAAGUUGCUAAGAGUUCUCAAAGAUCAUAAGGCAGCCAUUGGGUGGUCUAUUGCAGACAUUAGAGGUAUAAGUCCCACAAAGUGCAUGCAUCGCAUUCUUUUGGAGGAUGAAUCAAAGCCAAGUCGUGAGGCACAAAGGAGAUUGAACCUACAUAUGAAAGAAGUGGUAAGGAUUGAAAUUUUGAAGCUCCUUGAUUGAGGAAUUAUUUAUCCUAUUUCGGAUAGCAAGUGGGGGAGUCCGGUGCAAGUUGUUCCAAAAAAGUCCGGUAUUACCGUUGUCAAGAAUGAUUCCAAUGAAUUGGUGCCUCAAAGAGUGACAACGGGUAUUGAAGUAGACAAGGCAAAAAUUGACUUGAUAGCCAAGCUCCCUCCUCCUACAACAGUGAAAGGAAUAAGAAGCUUCCUUGGACAUGCCGGUUUUUGUCGAAGAUUCAUCAAGGAUUUCUCACGCAUCGCAAAGCCUUUAUGCGAUCUUCUUGCUAAGGAUGCCACAUUCUGCUUUGAUGAUGCCUGCCUAAAGGCCUUCAACACACUCAAAGAGCUCUUAACAAAAGCUCCCAUCAUUAUGGCACUGGACUGGAGUCUUCCUUUCGAAUUAAUGUGUGAUGCAUCUGAUUAUGCUAUUGGAGCAGUUUUGGGGCAGUGGGUUAACAAGCUUCCUCAUGCCAUCUAUUAUGCAAGUCGGAUGCUCAAUGAUGCUCAACUUAAUUACUCUACAACAGAGAAAGAAUUGCUUGCUGUGGUUUAUGCACUAGAGAAGUUCUGGUCAUAUCUUGUUGGCUCAAAAGUGAUUGAAUUCACGGACCAUGCAGCUCUACGGUAUCAAUUGUCAAAGCAUGAUGCCAAACCAAGGUUAAUUCGUUGGAUUCUCUUGCUACAUGAAUUUGAUUUGGAAAUCCGGGAUAAAAAAGGAACCGAGAAUGUUGUAGCGGAUCACUUGUCAAGAUUGGUUAAUGAGGAAGAAAGUGGCAAUGAGCUACCGUUGAGAGAGUGCUUCCCAGAUGAGCAACUUUUUGCUAUUCAAGAACAAGAAGUUCCAUGGUUUGCAGACAUUGUGAACUACUUGGUGAGAAAAAUAAUUCCUGAAGAGUUUAGCAAGCAAGAAAUUAAGAAAUUCCUUUCACAGGUGAAGCAUUAUUUUUGGGAUGACCCUUAUCUCUUCAAGUUUUGUCCUGAUCAAAUCAUAAGAAGGUGUGUUCCAGAUAGUGAAGCAAGGAGUAUUCUCACUUUCUGUCAUACAUAUGCGUGUGGAGGACACUUUGGCCCUAAGAAGACAACAUUAAAGGUUCUACAAAGUGGCUUCUAUUGGCCUACUAUAUUCAAGGAUGCUCACACCUUUUGCAUGGCUUGUGAUCGCUGCCAAAGAACUGGAAAUAUCUCCUCAAGGAAUCAGAUGCCCCUCCAAAAUAUUCUAGAAGUUGAAAUCUUUGAUGUAUGGGAGAUUGACUUCAUGGGACCAUUCCCAUCUUCCAAUGGUUAUCUGUAUAUCUUGGUGGCAGUGGAUUAUGUCUCUAAGUGGGUUGAAGCUAUGCCUUCUAAGACCAACGAUCACAAAGUGGUGCUCAAUUUUCUGAAAGAGGUUAUUUUUACUCGGUUUGGCACACCAAGAGCAAUUAUUAGUGAUAGAGGAUCUCACUUUUGCAACAAGCCUUUUGAAGCUCUCAUGAAGAAAUACAAUAUCACUCAUAAGGUUGCAACUCCAUACCAUCCUCAAACAUCUGGUCAAGUUGAGAUUUCCAAUCGUGAAAUCAAGAGUAUCCUUGAGAAAACUGUGCAAACAUCAAGGAAAGAUUGGUCGACAAAGUUGAGUGAUGCACUCUGGGCUUAUAGGACUGCCUGCAAAACUCCUAUAGGCAUGUCUCCAUAUCGUAUUGUUUUUGGAAAAGCCUGCCAUCUUCUAGUUGAGCUUGAACACAAGGCGUAUUGGGCAAUCAAGAAGCUCAAUUUUGACAUAGCCAAAGCUGGUGAUGCGAGGAAGCUUCAACUCAAUGAACUGGAUGCACUGAGGAAUGAUGCCUAUGAAAAUGCGAAAAUUUACAAGGAAAGAACAAAGCUUUAUCAUGAUAAGAGAAUUCUUCGUAAGGAGUUUGUUCCAAAUCAGAAGUUGUUGUUGUACAACUCAAGGCUGAAGCUUUUUCCUGGCAAGCUUCGAUCACGAUGGUAUGGACCUUUCCUUGUUACUCAGGUUUUUCCUCAUGGAGCGGUGGAAGUUCAGAACAUGAAGACAGGAGCUCUGUUCGAAGUUAAUGGGCAGCGUUUAAAGCCCUAUUUUGAGCCCAAUUUUGAUGCAGAAAAGGACGGUCUAAACCUUAUUGACCCUUCCUCUUCAACUUAG